GGGCGGAGGAAAUUUGAGAGGAGCUGUCCUUAGUACGAGAGGACCGGGAUGGACGUACCUCUGGUGUACCGGUUGCAGACCAACUGCACAGCCGGGUAGCUAUGUAUGGAACGGAUAAACGCUGAAGGCAUCUAAGCGUGAAGCCGCCCUCAAGAUGAGAUUUCCCAUUCUUCGGAAGUAAGGUCCCUUAAAGAUAAUGAGGUAG
This 205-nucleotide ribosomal RNA is filed under the name Anaerotignum lactatifermentans. RNAcentral describes it as "partial 23S ribosomal RNA". It matches the Rfam family "Bacterial large subunit ribosomal RNA", at positions 2649 to 2855 of the family's 2925-position model. The record is from RNAcentral. Lineage: Bacteria; Bacillati; Bacillota; Clostridia; Lachnospirales; Anaerotignaceae.